RNAcentral lists this ribosomal RNA (377 nucleotides) under uncultured cyanobacterium. RNAcentral describes it as "bacterial SSU rRNA". It matches the Rfam family "Bacterial small subunit ribosomal RNA", at positions 376 to 770 of the family's 1533-position model. The record is from RNAcentral. Lineage: Bacteria; Bacillati; Cyanobacteriota.
CGCAAGCCUGACGGAGCAAGACCGCGUGCGGGAUGGCGGCCUAAUGGUUGUAAACCGCUUUUCUCUGGGAAGAUGAUGACGGUACCAGAGGAAUCAGCCUCGGCUAACUCCGUGCCAGCAGCCGCGGUAAUACGGAGGAGGCAAGCGUUAUCCGGAAUUAUUGGGCGUAAAGCGUCCGUAGGUGGUUAUUCAAGUCUGCUGUCAAAGCGUGGGGCUUAACUCCAUAGAGGCAGUGGAAACUGAGUGACUAGAGUGCGGUAGGGGUCGAGGGAAUUCCCAGUGUAGCGGUGAAAUGCGUAGAUAUUGGGAAGAACACCAGUGGCGAAAGCGCUCGACUGGGCCUGCACUGACACUGAGGGACGAAAGCUAGGGGAGCG